Molecule: non-coding RNA, 29 nt
Filed under: Rattus norvegicus (Norway rat)
Lineage: Eukaryota; Metazoa; Chordata; Mammalia; Rodentia; Muridae
Source: RNAcentral
UUAAUGCACUUUGAGAGGGCCUGGAUUAU